Molecule: ribosomal RNA, 254 nt
Filed under: uncultured bacterium
Lineage: Bacteria
Description: partial 16S ribosomal RNA
Rfam family: Bacterial small subunit ribosomal RNA
Source: RNAcentral
UACGUAGGGAGCGAGCGUUGUCCGAAUUUACUGGGCGUAAAGCGCGCGUAGGCGGGCUGUUAAGUGAGAGGUGAAAGGCUGGGGCUUAACCCCAUGCAGUGCCUCUCAUACUGGCGGUCUUGAGUGCGGCAGGGAGAAGUGGAAUGGCUGGUGUAGCGGUGAAAUGCGUAGAUAUCAGUCGGAACACCGGUGGCGAAGGCGGCUUCUUGGGCCUGGACUGACGCUGAGGCGCGAAAGAUGGGGGAGCGAACGGG